Long non-coding RNA from Salvelinus sp. IW2-2015, 1240 nucleotides. RefSeq lists it as uncharacterized. The record is from RefSeq and is a predicted model, not a curated record. NCBI's taxonomy places the organism in Eukaryota, Metazoa, Chordata, Actinopteri, Salmoniformes, Salmonidae.
CAGUGUUGAAAGCUCCAGGUCGGACCUGAACAAGCUCCCGGUUUUACCCACUAGAAUCCUGAGGGAGCACCCCUCCCUGGUAUACUGUGAAGACCGAGUGAUCGAGCACUAUGAGAACCUGAAGGGCCUCAGCAGAGGGCAAGCAAUUGUGCAGUAUUUGGCCUUAGUGGAGUCCCUCCCUACAUAUGGAGUUCAUUAUUAUCCAGUAAAGGACAAGCAGGGCCUGCCGUGGUGGCUGGGAGUCAGCUAUAAAGGCAUUGGACAGUACGAUUUACAGGACAAGUUGAAACCUCGGAAGGUAGGUUGGCCUUCUGUGACUUGUUUCUCCUUAUGGUGUAACUGAACAACCAGCCCCACUCUGGUUAAUAAUCCACCAAACUGUAAAUAAUGGCAACAAAAAGCUUGUGUUCUUGGCCAGGGUAAAGGGAGGGAAAGUUGUUAUCAACGUGGGUGUGAUAGUAUCUGGAUUAUGGUGAUAAGAUUGUGGCAUUCCUCAUUUAGGGUGUGAUUGAAAUAACCAUGACUGUGAUUCCAAAUAUGAUACCUAAAGUUACAGUUUUGGCAAAAAAAAGUUACAAUAUAUUCUUGUGUGUUUUCCUCCGCCAGUUUCAUUACUAUGUCUCUUACCUGUUCCCAUGUUGGAUCCCUGUUGACACAGCUGGGUUUGCUUAAUGCCAAGGCAUUAAUGGGCGUGUCCCAUGUAUUAAACCCAGCGUAUCCCAGUUCCUUUCUCAGCAGCCCUUCCAGUGGAAGGUGUAAUUAUGGUGCAGGAUGGGGAGCAGGCAGGCAGGGCUCUGGGGCUGGAUGAGCCGGCACCAAGCCAGCCUGGGCGGUCUCUGUGAGGGGCUCAGCUCUGAGAGAGAGCUAUGCUCUACCCAGGCCAACCAACCACACAUGGAGGGAGGGAGCACUCAUGCCAAAACUCCUCUGUAGCAGACCCCUGGUGAAAUGGUGGACUUUUGUAAUAUGCUUUUUUUUUAAGUGCACAACUCUUGUUGCUGUUCUAGAGGGGCCUGUCAUCUGGUAGAAUAUUGAUAGUGCUUCCUAUCAAGGCUGGCGACCUUUGUAUUCAUCGCAGCCCCCCUCUGCCCUUCUCCAAGCAUGCUGUGCUCAUUAUGCAAAGCUGCCUGUCAUUGUGUGUGUGUGUUUCUCUCGGAGAGCAAACAAUUGAUCAAGCAAUAAAACACAAUCACCUUGGCAGGGGGGCUGUGAGAAGCUUGGAAGGGUGUGAGGGGCUUGG